This 497-nucleotide ribosomal RNA is filed under the name uncultured bacterium. RNAcentral's name for it is "partial 16S ribosomal RNA". It matches the Rfam family "Bacterial small subunit ribosomal RNA", at positions 28 to 507 of the family's 1533-position model. The record is from RNAcentral.
GAUGAACGCUGGCGGCGUGCCUAAUACAUGCAAGUCGAGCGAACAGACGAGGAGCUUGCUCCUCUGACGUUAGCGGCGGACGGGUGAGUAACACGUGUAUAACCUACCUAUAAUACUGGUAUAACUUCGGGAAACCGGAGCUAAUACCAUAUAAUAUAUUGAACCGCAUUGUUCAAUAGUAAAAGACGGUUUUUCGGUCACGUAUCGCUGGAUCCCCGCCGGAUUAGGUAGUUGGUAAGGUAACGGCUUACCAAGGCGACGAUGCGUAGGCGACCUGUGAGGGUGAUCGGCCACACUGGAGCGGAGACACGGUCCAGGCUCCUACGGGAGGCAGCAGUAGGGAACCUUCCGCAAUGGGCGAAAGCAUGACGGAGCAACGCCGAGUGAGUGAUGAAGGCCUUCGGAUCGUAAAACUCUGUUAUUAGGGAAGAACAAAUGUGUAAGUAACUAUGCACGUAUUGACGGUACCUAAUCAGAAAGCCCCGGCUAACUACGUG